This 385-nucleotide ribosomal RNA is filed under the name Escherichia coli. RNAcentral describes it as "bacterial SSU rRNA". It matches the Rfam family "Bacterial small subunit ribosomal RNA", at positions 1 to 382 of the family's 1533-position model. The record is from RNAcentral. Lineage: Bacteria; Pseudomonadati; Pseudomonadota; Gammaproteobacteria; Enterobacterales; Enterobacteriaceae.
AAAUUGAAGAGUUUGAUCAUGGCUCAGAUUGAACGCUGGCGGCAGGCCUAACACAUGCAAGUCGAACGGUAACAGAAAGCAGCUUGCUGCUUUGCUGACGAGUGGCGGACGGGUGAGUAAUGUCUGGGAAACUGCCUGAUGGAGGGGGAUAACUACUGGAAACGGUAGCUAAUACCGCAUAACGUCGCAAGACCAAAGAGGGGGACCUUCGGGCCUCUUGCCAUCGGAUGUGCCCAGAUGGGAUUAGCUUGUUGGUGGGGUAACGGCUCACCAAGGCGACGAUCCCUAGCUGGUCUGAGAGGAUGACCAGCCACACUGGAACUGAGACACGGUCCAGACUCCUACGGGAGGCAGCAGUGGGGAAUAUUGCACAAUGGGCGCAAGC